This 397-nucleotide ribosomal RNA is filed under the name uncultured Synergistes sp. RNAcentral's name for it is "bacterial SSU rRNA". It matches the Rfam family "Bacterial small subunit ribosomal RNA", at positions 96 to 525 of the family's 1533-position model. The record is from RNAcentral. Lineage: Bacteria; Thermotogati; Synergistota; Synergistia; Synergistales; Synergistaceae.
UGGCGGACGGGUGAGAAGCGCGUGAGGAGCUGUCUUAUGCAGGGGGACAACAGUUGGAAACGGCUGCUAAUACCCCAUAAGCCGAGAGGUAAAAGGAGCAAUCCGGCAGAGGAGGUACUCGCGUCCUAUCAGCUAGUAGGUUGGGUAACGGCCGACCUAGGCGAAGACGGGUAGCCGGCCUGAGAGGGCGAACGGCCACACUGGAACUGAGAUACGGUCCAGACUCCUACGGGAGGCAGCAGUGGGGAAUAUUGGGCAAUGGGGGCAACCCUGACCCAGCGACGCCGCGUGGGUGAAGAAAUCCUUCGGGAUGUAAAGCCCUGUUGUAUGGGAAGAGCAGAAGACGGUACCAUACGAGGAAGCCCCGGCAAACUACGUGCCAGCAGCCGCGGUAAUA